This 516-nucleotide ribosomal RNA is filed under the name Triticum aestivum (bread wheat). RNAcentral's name for it is "partial small subunit ribosomal RNA". The record is from RNAcentral. Lineage: Eukaryota; Viridiplantae; Streptophyta; Magnoliopsida; Poales; Poaceae.
CAGUCGUAGUCAAAUUUGAACGAAGGAGUACUUUCUAAGUAAAAUGCUCUAGAAUUAAAUCUGAAAUUGGUAGCAGCUUCAGCAGAUACCAUACCUUAAGACCCGAGAUUUCUUCUCUGGCGUCGGUGGGUGGCCGAGCUAGCCGCACAGGAGUAGGGCGCAACGUGUGGAGAAUGGCGGGUUGGGGUAGGAAGAAGUAAGGGGCGAGGUCAACCUCUGACCGCCGGAGCAGAGUAUCCUGAAGUGCUUGUUCGCACAAGGUCGCGGCUUGGAACAGGGCGAGAUCCGCCAGAGCAGCACCGACGGUGACGAGACGACCAGGAGCUGGAACGGCACCUCUACUGGCCGUACUCGCACAGGUAGGCACCGGAUCUGGACCUCCGCCACGGUCGGCAAGCUGGAGGACGAUGAGCGAGAGGGUUGAUCCAGGAGGCGGCUGGCAGUCAAGCUAGAUUGGGGAAUUUUGGGCUGUGCUGCUGCUAUCGGAUGAAGGAAGAAGCAGAUUCUGAAAGGAAA